AGGACGAACGCUGGCGGCGUGCCUAACACAUGCAAGUCGAACGAGGUCCAACCAAUCGCAAGAUUGGGGAAGACCUAGUGGCGAACGGGUGAGUAACACGUGAGGAACCUGCCCCGAAGACCGGGAUAACGCUCCGAAAGGAACGCUAAUACCGGAUACCUUCACCGGACCGCAUGAUCUGGGGAAGAAAUGGAUUCCGCUUCGGGAGGGUCUCGCGGCUAUCAGCUUGUUGGUGGGGUAAGUGGCCACCAAGGCUUCGACGGGUAGCUGGUCUGAGAGGACGAUCAGCCACACUGGGACUGAGACACGGCCCAGACUCCUACGGGAGGCAGCAGUGGGAAUCUUGCGCAAUGGGCGAAAGCCUGACGCAGCACGACGCGUGGGAGUGAAGGCUCUCGGGUCGUAAACCCUUCAGCAGGACGAAACUGACGGUACCUGCAGAAGAACGCCCCGCCGAACUACGUCGCCAACGCACGCCGCC
Molecule: ribosomal RNA, 481 nt
Filed under: uncultured soil bacterium
Lineage: Bacteria
Description: bacterial SSU rRNA
Rfam family: Bacterial small subunit ribosomal RNA
Source: RNAcentral